RNAcentral lists this transfer RNA (68 nucleotides) under Ips subelongatus (larch engraver beetle). RNAcentral describes it as "tRNA-Tyr". It matches the Rfam family "tRNA". Rfam says of the family: Transfer RNA (tRNA) molecules are approximately 80 nucleotides in length. Their secondary structure includes four short double-helical elements and three loops (D, anti-codon, and T loops). Further hydrogen bonds mediate the characteristic L-shaped molecular structure. tRNAs have two regions of fundamental functional importance: the anti-codon, which is responsible for specific mRNA codon recognition, and the 3' end, to which the tRNAs corresponding amino acid is attached (by aminoacyl-tRNA synthetases). tRNAs cope with the degeneracy of the genetic code in two manners: having more than one tRNA (with a specific anti-codon) for a particular amino acid; and 'wobble' base-pairing, i.e. permitting non-standard base-pairing at the 3rd anti-codon position. The record is from RNAcentral. Lineage: Eukaryota; Metazoa; Arthropoda; Insecta; Coleoptera; Curculionidae.
GAUGAAAUGGCUGAAGUUUAGGCGAUAAACUGUAAAUUUAUUUAUGAAAAUUUUAUUUUCUUUUAUCA